UACAGAGGAGCCAAGCGUUGUCCGGAUUGACUGGGCGUAAAGCGCACGCAGGCGGUCGCGCGCGUGGGGGGUGAAAUCUGGCCGCUUAACGGCCAGGCGCCAUCCCAUACGGCGCGACUGGAGUGAUGCAGAGGUCGAUGGAAUUGCCGGUGUAGUGGUGAAAUGCGUAGAGAUCGACAGGAACACCCAGGGGGAAACCAGUCGACUGGGCAUCUACUGACGCUGAGGUGCGAGAGCGUGGGGAGCGAACCGG
This 253-nucleotide ribosomal RNA is filed under the name uncultured bacterium. Its description in RNAcentral is "partial 16S ribosomal RNA". It matches the Rfam family "Bacterial small subunit ribosomal RNA", at positions 524 to 776 of the family's 1533-position model. The record is from RNAcentral.